AUGUGCUGUAGAACUGUGCACCUGAAACCUGCAUAAUUUUGUUAAGCGGUGUCACCCCAAUAAAUUCAAUACAAAAUAAAAUAAUGAAUUAAAAAAAUAAAAUGCAUCCCAUAUCUUUGUUGUUAAAAAAAACUUGAAUAUUUUUAAAAUUUUGCUUUUUAUUUGCCAAUAAGUAUCUUUCUAGCCAACAUUCUCUUUUUAAUUUAAUUUUUAUUUGUUAGGAAGAGAUAGGUAUUGGAUGUAGGAUAAAGCAGUCCUGGCCUAUUUUACUGCUGACUCUCCUCAUUAGGGGGAAAAGAAAAAAGAAAAAGAAAAA
Long non-coding RNA from Myotis daubentonii (Daubenton's bat), 316 nucleotides. RefSeq lists it as uncharacterized. The record is from RefSeq and is a predicted model, not a curated record. NCBI's taxonomy places the organism in Eukaryota, Metazoa, Chordata, Mammalia, Chiroptera, Vespertilionidae.